This 434-nucleotide ribosomal RNA is filed under the name uncultured Glomus. RNAcentral describes it as "SSU rRNA". It matches the Rfam family "Eukaryotic small subunit ribosomal RNA", at positions 597 to 1036 of the family's 1831-position model. Lineage: Eukaryota; Fungi; Glomeromycota; Glomeromycetes; Glomerales; Glomeraceae. The record is from RNAcentral.
GCGUAUAUUAAGUUGUUGCAGUUAAAAAGCUCGUAGUUGAAUUUCGGGAUCAAUUUGCUGGUCGUGCCUCUGGUACGUACUGGUAUUAUUGGUUUCUCCCUUCUGACGAACCAUGAUGUCAUUAAUUUGGUGUCGUGGAGAAUCAGGACUGUUACUUUGAAAAAAUUAGAGUGUUUAAAGCAGGCAUUAGCUUGAAUACAUUAGCAUGGAAUAAUGAAAUAGGACGUUUGAUCCUAUUUUGUUGGUUUCUAGGAUUGACGUAAUGAUUAAUAGGGAUAGUUGGGGGCAUUAGUAUUCAAUUGUCAGAGGUGAAAUUCUUGGAUUUAUUGAAGACUAACUACUGCGAAAGCAUUUGCCAAGGAUGUUUUCAUUAAUCAAGAACGAAAGUUAGGGGAUCGAAGACGAUCAGAUACCGUCGUAGUCUUAACCAUAAA